Molecule: ribosomal RNA, 513 nt
Filed under: uncultured bacterium
Lineage: Bacteria
Description: partial 16S ribosomal RNA
Rfam family: Bacterial small subunit ribosomal RNA
Source: RNAcentral
GAUGAACGCUGGCGGCGUGCCUAAUACAUGCAAGUCGAACGCGCAGCGAGAGGUGCUUGCACCUUUCAAGCGAGUGGCGAACGGGUGAGUAACACGUGGAUAACCUGCCUCAAGGCCGGGGAUAACAUUUGGAAACAGAUGCUAAUACCGAAUAAAACUUAGUAUCGCAUGAUAUCAAGUUAAAAGGCGCUACGGCGUCACCUAGAGAUGGAUGCGCGGUGCAUUAGUUAGUUGGUGGGGUAAAGGCUUACCAAGACGAUGAUGCAUAGCCGAGUUGAGAGACUGAUCGGCCACAUUGGGACUGAGACACGGCCCAAACUCCUACGGGAGGCUGCAGUAGGGAAUCUUCCACAAUGGGCGCAAGUCUGAUGGAGCAACGCCGCGUGUGUGAUGAAGGCUUUCGGGUCGUAAAGCACUGUUGUAUGGGAAGAAAAGCUAAAAUAGGGAAUGAUUUUAGUUUGACGGUACCAUACCAGAAAGGGACGGCUAAAUACGUGCCAGCCGCCGCCGUAA